GCAGCCGCGGUAAUACGGGGGAUGCAAGCGUUAUCCGGAUUUAUUGGGUUUAAAGGGUGCGUAGGCGGUCUGGUAAGUCAGCGGUGAAAUUUAGGGGCUCAACCUCUACCGUGCCGUUGAUACUGUCGGACUAGAAUGCGGAUGCCGUGGGAGGAAUGUGUGGUGUAGCGGUGAAAUGCAUAGAUAUCACACAGAACACCGAUUGCGAAGGCAUCUCACGAAUCCGCAAUUGACGCUGAGGCACGAAAGCGUGGGGAUCAAACAGGAUUAGAUACCCC
This 278-nucleotide ribosomal RNA is filed under the name uncultured Rikenellaceae bacterium. Its description in RNAcentral is "partial 16S ribosomal RNA". It matches the Rfam family "Bacterial small subunit ribosomal RNA", at positions 511 to 788 of the family's 1533-position model. The record is from RNAcentral. Lineage: Bacteria; Pseudomonadati; Bacteroidota; Bacteroidia; Bacteroidales; Rikenellaceae.